Molecule: transfer RNA, 66 nt
Filed under: Bemisia tabaci
Lineage: Eukaryota; Metazoa; Arthropoda; Insecta; Hemiptera; Aleyrodidae
Description: tRNA-Arg
Source: RNAcentral
UGUAUAGAAGUAAAGAUUACAUUUAAUUUCGGCUUAAAAUAUAAGCACUGCUAGUGCUUCGUACAA